CAGGCAGAAAACUCAUGUGCUCCUACUGGGCGUGGAAUGUACUCCACGGGUUGGAAAUGGCCUUCCUGUUACUUUCUCUCCUAUUACUAUUCUGAAUUGGGAAAGGUGAGGCAAGAAAUGGCUCGAUGGGGUGAGACUGGAGCUGGACCAGCCAGAGAAACAGGAGACAACAUCAUUGUCCACAGCAUCCAAGCAUCUGGGGUGACUGGCAGCCCACCUCCGCAGCAGGGAAGGCAGCACCAGGAAGGGAUUCUCUUAUUACUGGAAAAUGUCCUCAAUACCCAGGGAUCACUCAGCACAAGGUCAAGAGCUGACUGUCAGCAAGAAAGAAAAGCAGAGCAAAGAAAUGAAGACCAUGUGAAAGGAAAACAUUGCUUUCAAGGCUCUGCCUACAAGGUCCACAUGAAAGUAAGUAUAACAUUAAAAACUCUGGCUGCUAGAGCUAGGAUAGUGGAAGGUGCAAGAUAUUUGCUGGAGUGAUGCAGAGUCCAGAGGGAAAGUUGUCCCAAGAAAAAUCCAGGCGGGGGGAAAGACUCGGCACCAGGGUCAGAUUAUGAGGGUCAUUUAAUAUGUGAUCCUGAGCAAAUCAGAGUUCUUCUGGGCUUUAAAAGGAAGAUUCAAUAAUGGCACCUACUCCAUAAGGCUGUUGUGAG
This 653-nucleotide long non-coding RNA is filed under the name Capra hircus (goat). Its description in RNAcentral is "lncRNA (ENSCHIG00000007424.1)". The record is from RNAcentral. Lineage: Eukaryota; Metazoa; Chordata; Mammalia; Artiodactyla; Bovidae.